GUGAGGAAUUUUCCGCAAUGGGCGAAAGCCUGACGGAGCAAUGCCGCGUGAAGGAUGAAGGCCUAUGGGUUGUAAACUUCUUUUCUCAGAAAAGAAUUAUGACGGUAUCUGAGGAAUAAGCAUCGGCUAACUCUGUGCCAGCAGCCGCGGUAAGACAGAGGAUGCAAGCGUUAUCCGGAAUGAUUGGGCGUAAAGCGUCUGUAGGUUGUUUAAAAAGUAUUCUGUCAAAGAUUAGGGCUUAACCCUAGAUAGGCAGAAUAAACUUUUAAGCUAGAGUUUGGUAGAGGCAGAGGGAAUUCCCGGUGGAGCUGUGAAAUGCGUAGAUAUCGGGAGGAACACCAAAGGCGAAGGCACUCUGCUGGGCCAAUACUAACACUGAGAGACGAAAGCGAGGGGAGCAAAUGGGAUUAGAUACCCGAGUAGUCC
RNAcentral lists this ribosomal RNA (426 nucleotides) under uncultured bacterium. RNAcentral's name for it is "partial 16S ribosomal RNA". It matches the Rfam family "Bacterial small subunit ribosomal RNA", at positions 354 to 796 of the family's 1533-position model. The record is from RNAcentral.